AUGGAGAACCUCUCUAUGGAGGGCAAGGCGCUGUAUGAGACGCUCACGUCUGCGGCGACGAUCGCCCACCAGCAACAGAAGAAAGAGCUUGAGGAGCUCAUCAUCGCGGUGGUCGGCCACGCCGUUGACACGGCGAUCUCCAAGUCUAUUCCGCUUGCAGUCGACCAGGCGUUGGGAUCCGUGGUCGAGGACUUGCAAGCCUACACCGAUGGCGCUGAGCAGGACCUACACAAGCAAAUCUACGAGCUCUGCGCCUCGAUUGGUCUCGCCUCCAACUCGGGCACGGCGACAGUGCGGCCGCCUUCGUCCAGGGGAGCGGCGGAGACCGGCCCCGAUGGGCACGGCGGACAUUCGACUACAUGGGGGUCGGGAUCUGGGGCUUCGCUGCCCUACGUUCCGCCUCCGGCACGAGGUAUCACCGAUCCGCCCCAUCCUUCUCGUUUGCCAGUCUGA
This 453-nucleotide ribosomal RNA is filed under the name Triticum aestivum (bread wheat). Its description in RNAcentral is "partial small subunit ribosomal RNA". Lineage: Eukaryota; Viridiplantae; Streptophyta; Magnoliopsida; Poales; Poaceae. The record is from RNAcentral.